This 422-nucleotide long non-coding RNA is filed under the name Acromyrmex echinatior (Panamanian leafcutter ant). Its description in RNAcentral is "uncharacterized LOC105151665, transcript variant X2". Lineage: Eukaryota; Metazoa; Arthropoda; Insecta; Hymenoptera; Formicidae. The record is from RNAcentral.
GCUAAUUGCAUUGAAAGCAAACAAAGAUACGUUGUUUACAAAACAUUUUUAGAAUAUUUAUAUACCGGUAGAAUCAAUCUGUCAUCUUUUGAGGACCUGUUAGUUGAGUUUGAGUUAAACGUAUCGCAUAUUACAUCUGCAAUUUGCGAUUAAAUAUUUCGUCGUUGCAGAUCUUUUGCAAUUGGCAGAUAAAGUCUGCCUGAAAAAUCUCCAGAUAAAUUGUACAGGAACAAUAAAAAAAACAAUUACUGUAUCAAAUGUCAUACACUUCUUUAACCUUAUCAACAAAAUGGCGGAACAUUACAGGAAGGAAUUGAUAAAAUAUUGCUUCAACUUCUAUUUUAAAAGCAUGACAAAUGUAAUACGGACAGAAGGUUCUCAACAAUUGGAUGUCGCAACAAAGGCUAUGUUUAUAGAUAAAG